Molecule: long non-coding RNA, 1404 nt
Filed under: Gossypium barbadense (sea-island cotton)
Lineage: Eukaryota; Viridiplantae; Streptophyta; Magnoliopsida; Malvales; Malvaceae
Description: long non-coding RNA (GBAR_LNC007609)
Source: RNAcentral
ACAACUUAAUGGGCUUAGAAUAUUCAACUAUGUUUAGUAGGAUUAGGCCAUGAGAAACAUAAGCUGAAGAGGUGUGUUGAACCCCUUCAUGUUUCAAUAUUCAUUUUAUAUUUUGCUCGUAACUGAGAUAUAGAAUUCUAUGAAGUUGGUUCAGCUACGCUAUGUAUUUUAAAAUCUAGUUGGAGAACUUCCCUUCUUUCUCCACUUGCUUCAAGUGAAGAUAUUCACCAAAUCAUGUCAUCUUACUUUGAUAUUAUUUGCAACCAUAAAAGAAUUCAUUUUCAUUUAACUUUAUUAAACCCUUGAUUCUUUUUUUUUUCUAUUUAUGACCUUGCUCUCUUUUCAUUAAUAUGAAAUUCAUAGUUUUAUGUUUGUGUCUAGAUAAUUUAGCAGUACUAAGUCUUUCCAGUUAAGGAUGUUCGACAAUCACCAAAUCAUGUCAUCUUACUUUGAUAUUAUUUGCAACCAUAAAAGAAUUCAUUUUCAUUUAACUUUAUUAAACCCUUGAUUCUUUUUUUAUCCUAUUUAUGACCUUGCUCUCUUUUCAUUAAUAUGAAAUUCAUAGUUUUAUGUUUGUGUCUAGAUAAUUUAGCAGUACUAAGUCUUUCCAGUUAAGGAUGUUCGACAAUCUGUUCUGAGUUGAUGGUUUUGUGCUUCUAUAAAAAUGAUGAGGCAGUAGACAGUUGGUUAUUGUUGAUAUUGAUUAGAUUUAAUCAUCUCUUAGCUAUUGGGAGGCCAGGUCGGCUUUGUUGAUUGUUGUUAGGGCUUUAAGAAUUGCUGCAGCAUUUGCUGCCCGGGGAAACAGGGUAUGUUACUGUCAUGAAAAUUAUGAAAUUUGUUUGGUACUGUAAACUAAUGGAUACACUUGUGGAUAAAAUGAGGAACCUGGCUAUAGGUGGAAAUGGACGUAUACCCAAAACUGGAAAAAUAUGUUUAGAAGAAGUCAAGGUCUUUCCCUUAACUAUAUCUGUUUUCUAUGUUCACUGCUUUGAGAAAUUUAAAUUUCUUUUAAGAAACAUAAAAUUUCAUUAGUUGACAAAAUAUUAGAUUACAUGAGAAUUUAUCUUGCUAAAGUUCGUCAUCCCUCCCUUUGACACAAAAUAAUAAAAUAUAUACUAACCAACAUAUUUGAAGAAAGCCGGGAACUUAUUCUUAUAGUUAUAUUGCUAGAACAAAGAACUGAAAGACCCUGGUGUAUAUUUCUAGACAUUAAUUUGAACUCCUGUGUCAUAUGUCUCUCCGCCUUUCCAAUUUUCUGGUAUGUUGUUUACAGGAAUAAUCCAUGACUCAUCUCCAUCCUCCCCACUCAAUAACAUCCUUAAAGACAAUGGACCACUUGGGGGUGAAUUGGUUGUCCAUACUGCUCCAUGACUCCUAUCCAACAGCUUGCACACAAAGUUCUGA